GGCAGUGUAGUGUAAUGGUUAGGGAGCUGGGCUUGUAACCUAACGGUUGCUGGUUCGAUUCCCACUGGUG
This 70-nucleotide transfer RNA is filed under the name Anguilla anguilla (European eel). RNAcentral describes it as "tRNA-OTHER". The record is from RNAcentral. Lineage: Eukaryota; Metazoa; Chordata; Actinopteri; Anguilliformes; Anguillidae.